CCGCAUGUCGCUCUCCUUUCUACUUACACAUGCAGUCGAACGGCAGCACGGGUGCUUGCACCUGGUGGCGAGUGGCGAACGGGUGAGUAAUACAUCGGAACGUGUCCUGUAGUGGGGGAUAGCCCGGCGAAAGCCGGAUUAAUACCGCAUACGAUCUACGGAUGAAAGCGGGGGAUCUUCGGACCUCGCGCUAUAGGGGCGGCCGAUGGCGGAUUAGCUAGUUGGUGAGGUAAAGGCUCACCAAGGCGACGAUCCGUAGCUGGUCUGAGAGGACGACCAGCCACACUGGGACUGAGACACGGCCCAGACUCCUACGGGAGGCAGCAGUGGGGAAUUUUGGACAAUGGGCGAAAGCCUGAUCCAGCAAUGCCGCGUGUGUGAAGAAGGCCUUCGGGUUGUAAAGCACUUUUGUCCGGAAAGAAAUCCCUGGUCCUAAUAUGGCCGGGGGAUGACGGUACCGGAAGAAUAAGCACCGGCUAACUACGUGCCAGCAGCCGCGGUAAUACGUAGGGUGCAAGCGUUAAUCGGAAUUACUGGGCGUAAAGCGUGCGCAGGCGGUGAUGUAAGACCGAUGUGAAAUCCCCGGGCUCAACCUGGGAACUGCAUUGGUGACUGCAUCGCUUGAGUAUGGCAGAGGGGGGUAGAAUUCCACGUGUAGCAGUGAAAUGCGUAGAGAUGUGGAGGAAUACCGAUGGCGAACGCAGCCCCCUGGGUCAAUACUGACGCUCAUGCACGAAAGCGUGGGGAGCAAACAGGAUUAGAUACCCUGGUAGUCCACGCCCUAAACGAUGUCAACUGGUUGUCGGGUCUUCAUUGACUUGGUAACGUAGCUAACGCGU
RNAcentral lists this ribosomal RNA (839 nucleotides) under Paraburkholderia tropica. Its description in RNAcentral is "bacterial SSU rRNA". It matches the Rfam family "Bacterial small subunit ribosomal RNA", at positions 25 to 860 of the family's 1533-position model. The record is from RNAcentral. Lineage: Bacteria; Pseudomonadati; Pseudomonadota; Betaproteobacteria; Burkholderiales; Burkholderiaceae.